AGAUUUAUUACCUUAACUGUAAUUUUCAUAAGUGAUUCCUUCAAUGAUACUACCUCUCCUAAUGGAUCAACAAUGCUUUGAAAAGCUAUAAUAUUUCAGGUGUGAGGAUGUACUAACCCAAUAGACAUGAAUUUCAUAUAGUUCAAAUGUGAGCAUGGUUCUACUUUUUUAAACCAUGUCAAUACUUAAUUACAUUCCCACUUAAAGAAACAUUUCUCUUAUCCCAUCUGUUUUUUUGGCCCUAAAGUAAUUUAUUAAUAAAAGAAAACCCUAACAAAAGGGUAAAAAGGAGAUACAAAGACAAAUCUUAUAAAACAACCCUCACACCCAAACACGUCAAAAAGUGCCCCAAAACACGAACAUUCAUCCACUUAUAACAACCCAAAGCAACACCCCACACACUAAUAAUCAAGAAAAGAAAUACAACCCUAAACUUUGGAAGCAAGAAAUUAACCAAAAAAAAAGAAAAGAAAAGAAGGCAACCCAAUACUCAAACAUCUCCAAAGUCUCCUUAAUGAUCACUCUAUAACCCAACUCGACAACUUAUCAAUUGAAACUCAACAUAGCCGUGGACGCAACAUGACCAAAUAUAAAAAAAAAAAAUCAUCAAAACGUAUUAAAGAAACAUCCACCUCUCAUUUUCUUGAUCAACAAAAUACACUGAAUCUAAAUAACAUGUCAGAAAAGCAUUAGCCAAUAACUUGUUG
RNAcentral lists this long non-coding RNA (707 nucleotides) under Gossypium barbadense (sea-island cotton). Its description in RNAcentral is "long non-coding RNA (GBAR_LNC004192)". The record is from RNAcentral. Lineage: Eukaryota; Viridiplantae; Streptophyta; Magnoliopsida; Malvales; Malvaceae.